CCCCUCUCAGGGUCACACCUGGAGAGUUUCCAGUACUCUACCAGGCUACUGGAGGGAGAGUGAAGCAGAGGUGUACCCAUUCCAUUCCUAGCUUGGCCAGUGGCUAGUGAGUGGAAGGCAAUCUGCUACAGGU
This is a small nucleolar RNA of Tachyglossus aculeatus (Australian echidna), 133 nucleotides long. NCBI's taxonomy places the organism in Eukaryota, Metazoa, Chordata, Mammalia, Monotremata, Tachyglossidae. The record is from RefSeq and is a predicted model, not a curated record.